UGCCCGACAGUAGAAUUAGGGGUGCAAGAUACCCACCUGAGAGAAAAGAAAAAGAAGAGCAUCUCAUUCUCCUCAUAAAGUUUCAAAAGCAAGGAAGGUAUGUAUCCCCUCAAAAGAGCAAAGUAGAAUUAGACUUCCACCACCAUUACUUCCACCAUUGUUAUCACCAUCAUCACCAUGCACCAUUCAUUCGCCACACAUGCACAUGUUGAUUAAACUUAUUGGCUUGUUUCUUUGGAUCCAUGGUUUGACUAUACAAUAAAUGUCUUGUAAGUAUGUAUACUUUAUCUCCCACCUAUGAACUCCAGAUAUUAAAGCCUUAUUAGAGUAGGGUGAGAGAGAAGGCAAUGUCACUACGCUUUGUACCACAAAUACCAC
Molecule: long non-coding RNA, 378 nt
Filed under: Sorghum bicolor (sorghum)
Lineage: Eukaryota; Viridiplantae; Streptophyta; Magnoliopsida; Poales; Poaceae
Description: long non-coding RNA (SBIC_LNC010921)
Source: RNAcentral